GCAGUGCCCGCCCCUCGCUCGCCGCCGCCCCUCCGCGCUCUGCCCUCCAGCGGCGGCGCGGACAGGCCCGCUGCGGCCUCCUCUCGGCCUGGCUCGGGAUGAGGAGCAGAACCAGAUCUACAAAUACAGGGCAGUGAGAUGGCAUCAUUUUCUCCAGCUGGUAAUUUCAUAGUAUGAUUUGCAGGCACCCAGAGGAAGGCCCCUUACUACGUUUCCCAAAAUCUGAAAUGAAGCAAAAGGAGAAGAAAAAGUCCAACAACAGCUGAAGGAAUAAUGCAUCUUUAAUAUCAUUCUCUAGCCAAGGCCAUCAGUCUCUAAAGAGGUGAUUAUCCCGCUGUAUUUAGCAUUGGUGCGGCCUCACCUUGAGUACUGUGUGCAGUUCUGGGCCCCACAAUUUAAGAAGGAUGUUCAGGUUCUUGGAUGUGUCCAGAGGAGGGCAGCAAAGCUGGUGAAAGAGCUGGAAGGCAUGUCCUGUGAGGAGUGGCUAUGAACUUUGAGUUUGUCUGGUUUGGAGAAAAGGAGUCUGAAGGGUGACCUCAUUGCUUUCUACCGCUUCCUGAGGAGGGGAAGUAGGGAGAAAAGUGCUGGUCUCUUCUCCCUGGGAUCCAGUGACAGGAGGUGUGGAAAUGGUUCAAAGCUGCACCAGAGGAGGUUCACACUUGACAUUGGAAGCAUUUCUUUACCAACAGGGUGGUCAAACACUGGAACAGGCUUCCUGGAGAGGUGGUCAAUGCCCCAAGCCUGCCAGUGUUUAAGAGGCAUUUGGACAAUGCCCUUAAUAACAUGCUCUAACUUUUUGUCAGCCCUGACCUGGUCAGUUAGUUGGACUAGGUGAUUGUUGUAGGUCCCUCCCAACUGAACUAUUCUGAUCUAACUCAAUAGCGUUUAGCAACAUUUUUUCAAUUUAUUGACCGUAAAAAAAUCUUCCAUCUCAGAAGCAAACUUGAGCAGUGAUGGAAACAGUGGUCUGGAGACCAAAUAGAGACCCAUUUUGGGUGAAUUUACAGUGAGUUAAUGACAAGAACCACACUAUUCACUGAAAUAAAAUCUAAAAUGUGUUUACUUCAGCAGGAUGAGUGUAGUGGUCUUUGGCCCUGUGUUCCAGCUGUAACUGGCACCAUUGACUUAGCGGAACAAGACGCUCACUCCAACCUAUCCAUGUGCCCAAGUGCUGACUAGUUGCCUGGCAUCUACAUCUACCUGUUCCAUCCUGAACAUAGCUUUUUGUGCAGUGCUGGAUGUCUUUGGAUGCCCUUUGCUAGGACUGUUGUUUUUUUGCUAUUUAUUGCUUUCUAACUUAGCCUCUUGCAUUAAUAGUCCCAGGCCAAUCUCUUCGACUAUCCCCAUACCUAAAGCUGAUUAGUGGUCAUUAUCUGGGUCCCAUCACCUUCUGGGAUCCCACUCCAAGCAUCUUAAAAAGCUUUAAAUGUGUUGACAGCAGUUGGUUUGCCCUGUGACAAGACAACAUAAGGAAAUAAAAAUUAUAUGUGUCAUGAUGCUUCAACUGUAGGCUUCUGAUAUAGACUUAGAUGAAAUCAUUGCUAUCUCCUUGAUUGCAUCUGUCUGAGUCUAUCGCUGGCUAUGAGAGCACAGAUAACCAGCAAGCAGUUCUAAAAAGUUUGUAUAAAUUAACAAGGACGUUUUUACAAGAUAACAAGUCCUCUAUUCGCAUGCUCUAUCAUCUUCAGGCACAUAUUCCACCCCUUUCCAGAAAUAUCAUGGUUACCUAUGCAUCAUUUGCAUCACAGACUUCAUUAAGAUUUUUCCUUUAAUAUUUGAUUAUUGUUAACACAAGUAAAACAUAUUUCUAUAACAAAUAAGGAUUAGAGAUUUUAACAACAUAACAAGCUGAUCUAUUUAAAUAUCACACCUUAUAAUGUACUUAAAGAGUGUUUGUGUUAUUCUAUUGUUCCUUAGGCCAACAGUAUUUGCACUAUUUUUGUAUUUCUCAGAACCAGACACUGGGAUUUUUUCCAGUCAUCAUCAAAAUGUUAGCCUCGUACAGAUGAGAAAGAAUUCAGACUUCAGAAAUAAGUGAAUUAGGAAUUGUCCUUCUCAGGGUCCUUAUGAUGUGAUUGAACUGGUAGUCUAAUAUGGUUAGUGUGAUACAAGCCUCCACAUGUUACUGUUUAUAUUUCC
Molecule: long non-coding RNA, 2139 nt
Organism: Grus americana (Whooping crane)
Lineage: Eukaryota; Metazoa; Chordata; Aves; Gruiformes; Gruidae
Exons: 3
Source: RefSeq, a predicted model, not a curated record